CCCGCCCAUCUGUUACUGAACCGGAAAUGAGAUACAGUUUACCUGCGUUGUUUUUAUUCCCGGACCUGCGGUAAUUCAUCUUCAGCGGUCAAGGAUGAACAGCCCUCCUCUUCUGGCUGAAUCGAGUACACACACCCCAAUUAGUGUCGCAUGAUGACCAACAAAGAGAAAGGAGAGGGUAUAGCUGCCACACGAGGAUGAAAAACAAUGGAGUGAGUGCCGGGAGAGAUAUGAAUGGCACUAUACGACGCAGCACCUUGUACGGAAAUAGAGUGGCAGACAGAUCACUUGAACGCAACAUACAUUAGAUCAGCUUUGUGUGAUGGAUGCCAGUGUAAUAUGAGAGGGAGAAGACAUGAAAGAGAGCAGAAAUCCUUUCUCUCUAAGGUGCCUUUUAGCUGAAAACGCAGAGAUAAGAUGUUGAAAUGUAGAAAAAUUGCCAGAAUGAAUCUGAUGGGAAACUUUUCUCCUCCUCAAGACAUUUUUUUUAGCCAUCUUAAUCUGAACGGUGGAAUCUGGCAACCUCACAAGAGCACCUGCAUCCGUCCAGCCUGCCCCGCUUUUGUUCUGGUCUGACCCCCUAACUUUAGCCCCCUAAUUAACCCUACAGAAACUAAUUAAAUACAGCUCUAGUGCAACAGACGCCAAACAGAAAAAAUGAUGACAAAUAAGAAGGAGGAGCAGGACCCAGGCGAGCCAAAGUGACAGGAGAUGCAAACCUUGGCCUCUGAAUCAAGAGACAGGUUUAAAAAGACAAAUUAGAAAAAAAAGAAGCAGGGUGGGAGAUUCAAAAGAGGAGGGUGUUUGGGUUUCAUUCUCCGCCUGCUCUGUCCUCAGCAAGUUGUCACUCUUUUCUGAGCCCUCACAGACCUAUAUUCUUCCUCACAUGCUGUCAUUUUUCAAGGUAUUUUGGUUCUUCCUUUUAUAAGAGUGUGGAUGCCAGCUGCUGUAAUCACAAGCAAACCAGUCACAUGACGCAACUGACGCCCUGAAGAUAUUUGGAAAAGGGUAUAGAGGCAGGAUGGGUAGAGCCGCAGUGAGACAAGAGCAGUGUAGAAUGAGAAAAGGAGGAGGAAGAGGAGGCAGAGGAGGAGGACGAGGAGGAGGAGGGGGGAAAGAAAAAGGUACGGGACAGGAUUGUGAGAAAGAAGAUAUGUGAAUAUGGGUUCAAACCAGCCAAGUGUCUCUGGCAAAGACGCUUCUGCUCCUCGUCCCAGGCAGGCACGGCUCGCUAAGUGAUAGAGAAAGUAAUUAAGAGAAGCCUGUUCAAGUAGAUAGGCCUGUAAAGGAGAUUUGAAGAGGGGAACUGAUUGUGCAUGUCUGAUUCCAGCUCUUCAGAGAGUUCUCAGCCCUGAGGCUUAGCUUUCAAAGGGCCGUCUCUCUCUCUCUCUCUCUCUCUCUCUCUCUCUCUCUCUUUACCUCUCUCUCUCUCUCUCUC
Molecule: long non-coding RNA, 1438 nt
Organism: Notolabrus celidotus (New Zealand spotty)
Lineage: Eukaryota; Metazoa; Chordata; Actinopteri; Labriformes; Labridae
Exons: 3
Source: RefSeq, a predicted model, not a curated record